AAGUCCUUACUGGCCUCUGCUGAGAUACCUUCUCUCUCAGUGGCUGUGGUUAUCAGCUGUCUCCAAUGCAUCUCAGUUGAUGGAGCAAGUUGUUACUCCUGCCCAGUCCACCACCACUGCUGCUGGCUGCUGGACCACCCGCUAACCAGAGUGUUUGUUACAAAAUGAAGAUGAAGCAGCUGGAACUUGGGUCUGCGAAGAGAGGCUCUGUCUUUCCUUGCUUGGCCUCUGAAAUAUGUACUCCAGUCAUGAAGCAGAGAAUGUUAUAGAGAAGACAAAGAAUUAAAUGAACCUUCUGAGGACUUCAAGCCUGGGAAGCAGCCUCUCAGACAGCUCCGCCUGCUCCAAAAGAGGUAAAGGAGAAGCCAGAAUAUAUAGGAAUUUUACAACAAAAAAACAGGUGCUAAAUCCCAGCCAUACACCAGUGCUAUAUCAUUACAAGUCAAGGUCUAUUUCUGGGAGUGACUGUGUGUCUGACCAAAGAGAUGAGUUAUCGAGGAAGAAGGCCUCCCUCGUCUAGGACACCAUUUUCUGGAAAAAGAUGAACAUCUGUAAGGACAGCCAGCUAGGCUGUUACAAGGCCUCCUCCUUCCAUCACCCCACAGGGAGUAAAUCUGGGCAGGGAAGGACCCAGCCAGAUGUGGAUGUCUGCAUGCUGCUGGGGCAACAUCCCUGCUGCUUGCACAGUUGGAAUAACGUGCCACUAUGAGGUGGCUACUUCGUGAACCGGAGGUUCUCAUUCAGAGUAUAAAUUCAGAGGAAAGACAUCUUCAGGUAAAGAAGGAACAGAAAAUACCAAGUGGUUCUCCACAGGGACCUGUAUGUUUUUCACUACCUAUGGGAGGGAAGUGAAAACAUGUGUUUAGGGAUCCAUUGAAGAAUUUGGUGGUAUUCAUCCUAGUUCAGAGCAACCCCAUGCUGAGCAGAUUGCAUUCCAUCAUGAAAUAAUUGGUAUAGAGGACCUUGAAUAGGCAUGCUCUAUACUUCCGGCAUUUAGUAAAACUCAAAUGGCAGCUGUAAUGACAUUAGUUUAUCACUUCUCAUUCAUCAAAGACUAAAAGUAUUGGAGAAAUUCAUUGGAUAAUAUAACAUCCAUUACACCUUGACUCUGUAUCAGUGAUCAAAGGUGUAAAUACCAUAAGCACGACACUGAUGUUUAUACUCCAAAGUUUGACACCUCACUUUGGGCACAGGAAUAUUAAAAUGUUCUUAGCUAUAAUUCCUCUCCAAAUGUAAAAUUAAUCAUCAAGGCUUUCAAUAGCUUUACUUACUAUGCUGCACCUUAUUUUUUACAACAACCUAAGGAAAUACUCUAGCUACUGAGGCAGUGUUAUUGUAUGCCAAAAGGUGGAGGAGACUGCUAAUAAAGCAAAACCAACCCAAACCAAACCACCACCAACAACAAAACCCAGAAAACCAACUACUGAUAACGCAGAGGUAAGUUUUUAUUAGGGGUUCUAAAAUGACAUAUGCCAGCUAAAUUAAACUUUUUAAGAUGGUGGAUUAGCCACAGAGUGAAAUCUUUCACACAGACCUCAAAGAAAUCAUAGAAAAGAGUUUUUUAAAAAAUGAUUAAAUACAUAUUUAUGCUUGGAAACCAAAGAAGAGAAUCUCUACAGAUUAGAAAGACAUACCUCAAAAUAGGAAACAAAUAGGAAGCGACAGUGGUAAAAAGAGGCCAAUGCUUUCAGAAAACUAUACUGGUCUAAAGGCAUAUAUAUACACAUAUAUAGGUACAUGUGUAUGUGUGCACACACAUUUGCAGGAAAGAUUUUAUGAAACAUACCAUCUAGUUGUUUAUACUACAAGGGUCAUUUAAAACCUGAACUUUAGGUUCUCCAAAUUUAGGUUAAUAUUGUUGAGAUUUAGGUGAUGUCCUAAGGAGAUCAUUUAGAAUUCAUGAUGGACAAAAAAGUCAUUCUUAGAAAAUGAAAAAACAAGAGCAAGACACCAAGCAUCUGAAAAUCUAACAUGUGAAGGAAGGAAAACACAAUGCACUUAUGGAAGAGUUUAAACUUGGAAAGAAGAGAAAUAAUGCAGCAAUUUGAAAAUGUUUUUAAUAUGUGUAUUUAGUACCCAGGAAGAUAGCAAAUAAAGAUAUAAAUAGUUAUUUGCUUUUUUUAUAAAAAAAUAUAGAAAAUAUGCUAUUGACCAAUGCCAGGCACAUAUUAAACACUUUAUGAAAUUCAGCCAUUAUUUUCUUUCACUAUAAUUUUGGCUUCAUGAAAGCAGAGAAUUUUGUUUGUUUUAUUUACUGCUAUGUUCUCCAGCAUGUAGAAGAAUUUCUUACACAUGGAGCAAAAAUUGAACAACUAAUUUUUAGAUAAAAAGGCUCAGAGGAAAUGAACCCAACUAGCAUCCAUGAAGAUGUGGGUUCGAUCCCUGGCCCUCACUCAGUGGGUUAAGGAUUCGGAGUUGCCAUGAGCUGCAGUGUAGGUCACAGACGUGGCUCAGAUCUGGCAUUGCUGUGGCUGUGAUGUAGGCUGGCAGCUAUAACUUGGAUUAGACCCCUAGCCUGGGAACUUCCAUAUGCUACAGGUGUGGCCCUAAGCACCAAAAGAAAAAAAAA
RNAcentral lists this long non-coding RNA (2569 nucleotides) under Sus scrofa (pig). RNAcentral describes it as "lncRNA (ENSSSCG00015010216.1)". The record is from RNAcentral. Lineage: Eukaryota; Metazoa; Chordata; Mammalia; Artiodactyla; Suidae.